Molecule: long non-coding RNA, 205 nt
Filed under: Homo sapiens (human)
Lineage: Eukaryota; Metazoa; Chordata; Mammalia; Primates; Hominidae
Description: non-protein coding lnc-ATP2B3-1:5
Source: RNAcentral
CUGUCGGCCCAGCGUGGCUUAGGCCAGACCCCGAUCCAUCGACACCCCAAGGAAAUGCUGUGCACAAAAUUCCAAGAGGGCCUUUUCGAAUAGACGCAUGAACGGUGUUUGUGUCUGGAUCGUCCAGCCUCCCGGGAUCGAUUGGGAAUCUAGCUUCUGCUUGCCUUUCCAGCGCGACGCACAGUAGGAGCCUAAUAAAUGUUUG